ACUCCUACGGGAGGCAGCAGUAGGGAAUCUUCCGCAAUGCACGAAAGUCUGACGGAGCAACGCCGCGUGAACGAUGAAGGCUUCAGGUCGUAAAGUUCGUUGUGAGGGAAGAACAAGUAUCGGAGUAACUGCUCGUAUCUUGACGGUACCUAACCAGAAAGCCACGGCUAACUACGUGCCAGCAGCCGCGGUAAU
This 195-nucleotide ribosomal RNA is filed under the name uncultured Bacillus sp. RNAcentral describes it as "partial 16S ribosomal RNA". It matches the Rfam family "Bacterial small subunit ribosomal RNA", at positions 335 to 524 of the family's 1533-position model. Lineage: Bacteria; Bacillati; Bacillota; Bacilli; Caryophanales; Bacillaceae. The record is from RNAcentral.